This 72-nucleotide transfer RNA is filed under the name Rhodospira trueperi. It matches the Rfam family "tRNA". From Rfam's summary of the family: Transfer RNA (tRNA) molecules are approximately 80 nucleotides in length. Their secondary structure includes four short double-helical elements and three loops (D, anti-codon, and T loops). Further hydrogen bonds mediate the characteristic L-shaped molecular structure. tRNAs have two regions of fundamental functional importance: the anti-codon, which is responsible for specific mRNA codon recognition, and the 3' end, to which the tRNAs corresponding amino acid is attached (by aminoacyl-tRNA synthetases). tRNAs cope with the degeneracy of the genetic code in two manners: having more than one tRNA (with a specific anti-codon) for a particular amino acid; and 'wobble' base-pairing, i.e. permitting non-standard base-pairing at the 3rd anti-codon position. Lineage: Bacteria; Pseudomonadati; Pseudomonadota; Alphaproteobacteria; Rhodospirillales; Rhodospirillaceae. The record is from Rfam by way of RNAcentral.
GCGGGUGUAGUUCAGUGGUAGAACGACAGCUUCCCAAGCUGUAUGUCGUCGGUUCAAUUCCGAUCACCCGCU